Long non-coding RNA from Homo sapiens (human), 660 nucleotides. RefSeq lists it as uncharacterized. Lineage: Eukaryota; Metazoa; Chordata; Mammalia; Primates; Hominidae. The transcript has 3 exons. The record is from RefSeq and is a predicted model, not a curated record.
CUCUGGUGCGGAGCAGCCCAGUGGGGGUUGUUAUAGUGGCAGUGGGGUGCCCUGUAGAGAGCAUUACAGAGUGGGUCACCAGGCCCAGGAUUAGAAGUGUCUGUAGCCCCCGAGGAACCGGGACAGGACUGAAUCAGUCAAGAAGAGACGAGAUGAUGAUGACGGAGUGGCCACAAAGUCCUCCCACCCCUACCCUAUCCCAGAUGAGCCCAUGCUGUAACCACAUGAAGAGCAAAGAAACAACUAUUUAUUCUCAGGGACUGUGUUAAUGAUUCCCAACCAUCAGCAUCGAAGAAGAGGUCCGGAAGAAUGUGAAGAAUGCUAAGUCUUGUGUGGAGAAUAGAGGGGAGCAUGAAGACAAUCCACAGCCUGCAGGCAGGGACUUCAUGGACACUCUACAUUGUGCAGCAGCCACAGAAUUCAGCCACAGGUGCCAGCUGGGCCUUGUCAUGCUUUUCCGCAUUUAAAAAGGCAUUUAAAAAAAUCCGAAACAAGAACAUGUACAGAAAGGUAAAAUUGACUGGAAGAGUUCAUUCCUUCCACUGAAAUCACUGAAUAACUACCUUGGCUACUUGGUGCCAAUGAUGAAGGCAUCAUAUUUAUACCCCUCAAAGGAUUCACAGUCCAGGAAGAAGCAGACAAACGAAGACUUUCAUAAGU